UACAGAGGGUGCUAGCGUUGUUCGGAGUUACUGGGCGUAAAGGGUGUGUAGGCGGUUGUUUAAGUUUGGUGUGAAAUCUCCCGGCUCAACUGGGAGGGUGCGCCGAAUACUGAAUGACUUGGAGUGCGGGAGAGGAGAGUGGAAUUCCUGGUGUAGCGGUGAAAUGCGUAGAUAUCAGGAGGAACACCGGUGGUGUAGACGGCUCUCUGGACCGUAACUGACGCUGAGACACGAAAGCGUGGGUAGCAAGCAGG
RNAcentral lists this ribosomal RNA (254 nucleotides) under uncultured bacterium. Its description in RNAcentral is "partial 16S ribosomal RNA". It matches the Rfam family "Bacterial small subunit ribosomal RNA", at positions 524 to 776 of the family's 1533-position model. The record is from RNAcentral.